RNAcentral lists this ribosomal RNA (764 nucleotides) under uncultured Bacillota bacterium. Its description in RNAcentral is "bacterial SSU rRNA". It matches the Rfam family "Bacterial small subunit ribosomal RNA", at positions 581 to 1349 of the family's 1533-position model. Lineage: Bacteria; Bacillati; Bacillota. The record is from RNAcentral.
UCGUAAGUCAGUGGUGAAAUCUCACAGCUUAACUGUGAAACUGCCGUUGAUACUGCGGGUCUUGAGUAAGGUAGAAGUGGCUGGAAUAAGUAGUGUAGCGGUGAAAUGCAUAGAUAUUACUUAGAACACCAAUUGCGAAGGCAGGUCACUAUGUCUUAACUGACGCUGAUGGACGAAAGCGUGGGGAGCGAACAGGAUUAGAUACCCUGGUAGUCCACGCCGUAAACGAUGCUAACUCGUUUUUGGGGCUUUGGCUUCAGAGACUAAGCGAAAGUGAUAAGUCAGCCACCUGGGGAGUACGUUCGCAAGAAUGAAACUCAAAGGAGUUGACGGGGGCCCGCACAAGCGGUGGAUUAUGUGGUUUAAUUCGAUGCAACGCGAAGAACCUUACCAGGUCUUGACAUCUAGUGCAAUCUGUAGAGAUACGGAGUUCCCUUCGGGGACGCUAAGACAGGUGGUGCAUGGCUGUCGUCAGCUCGUGUCGUGAGAUGUUGGGUUAAGUCCCGCAACGAGCGCAACCCUUGUUAUUAGUUGCCAGCAUUAAGUUGGGCACUCUAAUGAGACUGCCGGUGACAAACCGGAGGAAGGUGGGGAUGACGUCAAGUCAUCAUGCCCCUUAUGACCUGGGCUACACACGUGCUACAAUGGGCAGUACAACGAGAAGCAAGCCUGCGAAGGCAAGCGAAUCUCUGAAAGCUGUUCUCAGUUCGGACUGCAGUCUGCAACUCGACUCUAUGAAGCUGGAAUCGCUAGUAAUCGCGCAU